RNAcentral lists this ribosomal RNA (1266 nucleotides) under Triticum aestivum (bread wheat). Its description in RNAcentral is "partial small subunit ribosomal RNA". The record is from RNAcentral. Lineage: Eukaryota; Viridiplantae; Streptophyta; Magnoliopsida; Poales; Poaceae.
AUGGCCGCCGCCGCCGCGGGGCCCCGCCGGUGGCGCCGCGAGGAGGAGGAGCAGCAGCCGCACCGCCUCUCGGCCGCCGCGGCGGCCGACGACCGCUUCGACGGCCUCCCCGACCCGCUGCUCCUCCUCAUCUUCAACCGCAUCGGCGACGUCAAGGCGCUCGGCCGCUGCGCGCUCGUCUCCCGCCGCUUCCACGCCCUCGUGCCCCUCGUCGACUCCGUGCUCGUCCGCGUCGACUGCGUCAUCCCCGACGACCCCGCCUCCUCCUCCCCGUCCUCCUCCGCGCCCUCCUCCCCCACCGCCUCCGCCUCCGCCCGCGCGCGCGGCGUCUUCUCCCAGAUCGCGCGCAUGCUCAUCGGCGGCAUCGUCAAGCCCAUCCAGGCGCUCGGCCAGAUCCUCUCCCACGCCGGCCCCGCCGCCGACUUCCCCGCCUCCGCCUCCCUCUCCUCCUUCCGCCGCUCCGCCGCCUCCUCGCUCUCCUCCUCCUCGGCGUCGGCGCCCCCCGGCGACGUCUCGCACCACUCGCCCUCCGAGGUGCUCCGCUCCUUCAGGGAGCUCCGCAGCCUGCGCAUCGAGCUCCCCGCCGGCGAGCUCGGCAUGGACGACGGCGUGCUGCUCAAGUGGAAGGCCGACUUCGGCUCCACGCUCGGCAGCUGCGUCAUCCUCGGCGCCGCCUCCGCCUCCGCCUCGCCGUCCUCUGCCGCCAAGGACGGCGCCACGGCCGCGCCUCCUCCUCCAACUGCUGAUUGCGCCGAGUCUGACGAUUCAGGGAGCAUACCGGAGUCCUUCUACACCAACGGGGGGCUUAAGCUGCGGGUGCUGUGGACCAUCAGCUCGUUGAUUGCCGCGUCGGCCCGGCAUUACCUGCUGCAGCCCAUCAUUUCCGACCACGCGUUGCUGGAGAGCCUGGAUCUGACGGACGCCGAUGGGCAGGGCGUGCUCACCAUGGACAAGUGGCAACUGCAGGAGCUACGGGUCAGGCCAGUAUCAGCGUCUGGUGACUCACACCGCACGCUCAUGCCGGCCCUUAGCAUGCGCUUGUGGUAUGCGCCACACAUUGAGCUGCCUGGGGGCACGGUCUUGAAUGGAGCAACACUGGUGGCCAUCAAGCCGAGCGAAGAGGCAAUGAUGGACGCAGUUGGGAAUGCAACUGCUGGCUCGGCAGGUGGAUCCUGGGUUUCAGAUGCCUUUGAGGAGCCAUAUCGGACGGCCGUCGGUGUGCUCCUCAAGCGGAGGAUGUAUAGCCUUGAGAUGAACUCAUUCUAA